This 301-nucleotide ribosomal RNA is filed under the name uncultured bacterium. Its description in RNAcentral is "partial 16S ribosomal RNA". It matches the Rfam family "Bacterial small subunit ribosomal RNA", at positions 509 to 807 of the family's 1533-position model. The record is from RNAcentral.
CAGCCGCCACGGUAAUACGAAGGGUGCAAGCGUUAAUCGGAAUUACUGGGCGUAAAGCGUGCGCAGGCGGUUUGUUAAGUCAGAUGUGAAAUCCCCGAGCUUAACUUGGGAACUGCAUUUGAAACUGGCAAGCUAGAGUCUUGUAGAGGGGGGUAGAAUUCCAGGUGUAGCGGUGAAAUGCGUAGAGAUCUGGAGGAAUACCGGUGGCGAAGGCGGCCCCCUGGACAAAGACUGACGCUCAGGUGCGAAAGCGUGGGGAGCAAACAGGAUUAGAUACCCGUGUAGUCCCUGUCUCUUAUAC